This is a non-coding RNA of Pelobates cultripes (western spadefoot toad), 259 nucleotides long. Lineage: Eukaryota; Metazoa; Chordata; Amphibia; Anura; Pelobatidae. The record is from the annotation of a GenBank genome assembly.
GGGAACUCUGGGGGCUGCUCUUUCCCCUGGUUGUCCUCACUGGGGGUCUCUGGGGGCUGCUCUUUCCCCUGGUUGUCCUCACUGGUGGCCUGUGGGGGCUGCUCUUUCCCCUGGUUGUCCUCACUGGGGGUCUCUGGGGGCUGCUCUUUCCCCUGGUUGUCCUCACUGGUGGUCUCUAGGGGCUGCUCUUUCCUCUGGUUAUCCUCACUGGUGGCCUGUGGGGGCUGCUCUUUCCUCUGGUUAUCCUCACUGGUGGCCU